AUUUAUUGGGCGUAAAGCGAGCGCAGGCGGUUUGAUAAGUCUGAUGUGAAAGCCUUUGGCUUAACCCAAAGAAGUGCAUCGGAAACUGUCAGACUUGAGUGCAGAAGAGGACAGUGGAACUCCAUGUGUAGCGGUGGAAUGCGUAGAUAUAUGGAAGAACACCAGUGGCGAAGGCGGCUGUCUGGUCUGCAACUGACGCUGAGGCUCGAAAGCAUGGGUAGCGAACAGGAUUAGAUACCCUGGUAGUCCAUGCCGUAAACGAUGAGUGCUAGGUGUUGGAGGGUUUCCGCCCUUCAGUGCCGCAGCUAACGCAUUAAGCACUCCGCCUGGGGAGUACGACCGCAAGGUUGAAACUCAAAGGAAUUGACGGGGGCCCGCACAAGCGGUGGAGCAUGUGGUUUAAUUCGAAGCUACGCGAAGAACCUUACCAGGUCUUGACAUCUUGCGCCAACCCUAGAGAUAGGGCGUUUCCUUCGGGAACGCAAUGACAGGUGGUGCAUGGUCGUCGUCAGCUCGUGUCGUGAGAUGUUGGGUUAAGUCCCGCAACGAGCGCAACCCUUGUUACUAGUUGCCAGCAUUCAGUUGGGCACUCUAGUGAGACUGCCGGUGACAAACCGGAGGAAGGUGGGGACGACGUCAGAUCAUCAUGCCCCUUAUGACCUGGGCUACACACGUGCUACAAUGGACGGUACAACGAGUCGCGAACUCGCGAGGGCAAGCUAAUCUCUUAAAACCGUUCUCAGUUCGGACUGCAGGCUGCAACUCGCCUGCACGAAGUCGGAAUCGCUAGUAAUCGCGGAUCAGCAUGCCGCGGUGAAUACGUUCCCGGGCCUUGUACACACCGCCCGUCACACCAUGAGAGUUUGCAACACCCAAAGUCGGUGGGGUAACCCUUCGGGGAGCUAGCCGC
Molecule: ribosomal RNA, 910 nt
Filed under: Limosilactobacillus mucosae
Lineage: Bacteria; Bacillati; Bacillota; Bacilli; Lactobacillales; Lactobacillaceae
Description: bacterial SSU rRNA
Rfam family: Bacterial small subunit ribosomal RNA
Source: RNAcentral